Molecule: ribosomal RNA, 427 nt
Filed under: uncultured Cellvibrio sp.
Lineage: Bacteria; Pseudomonadati; Pseudomonadota; Gammaproteobacteria; Cellvibrionales; Cellvibrionaceae
Description: bacterial SSU rRNA
Rfam family: Bacterial small subunit ribosomal RNA
Source: RNAcentral
UGGGGAAUAUUGGACAAUGGGCGCAAGCCUGAUCCAGCCAUGCCGCGUGUGUGAAGAAGGCCUUAGGGUUGUAAAGCACUUUCAGUGGGGAGAAAGGUCAUUCACCUAAUACGUGAGUGAAUUGAUGUUACCCACAGAAGAAGCACCGGCUAACUCCGUGCCAGCAGCCGCGGUAAUACGGAGGGUGCAAGCGUUAAUCGGAAUUACUGGGCGUAAAGCGCACGUAGGUGGUUUGUUAAGCUAGCUGUGAAAUCCCCGGGCUCAACCUGGGCACUGCAGUUAGAACUGGCAAGCUAGAGUAGGGUAGAGGGGUGUGGAAUUCCAGGUGUAGCGGUGAAAUGCGUAGAUAUCUGGAGGAACAUCAGUGGCGAAGGCGACACCCUGGACUCAUACUGACACUGAGGUGCGAAAGCGUGGGGAGCAAACA